UACUGCCUCCAAAUUCACUACAAUGUCACCAGUUCGAACAGUUUCAGUAUCAAUGAAGUUUUGCAUAAUGUUCGGCACGAUGACGCGUUGCGAAUGCACUUUUUCGUUUCGCGCGUCAAUAUGUCAAAAUGAUAAAAAAUAAUGCCGCAGUGAGUGGCAGUGGCCGAUGUGAACUUAAGGCAGAGAAAAAAAUGAAAGUCAAAAUAAAAUAACAAAACUACGAAAUAAUAUGGAAAUGCGGGGACUUGGCACAGUCAACGGCUUGAGGGCGCUUCUACGAUGGUGUGUAUCAAAAAUGAAAAAUUGUAAUUUCGGAAAACCAAAUCGGCGUUACUUGGAGAAAACUAAUAUAUCUAACGAAUGAACCUUGAUUUUUCGAUUUCAAUAGAUCCAGCAACAAAUUAUAAGGGACACUGAAAUCCUACUUUCUUCCGAGCCACGUCCGAAUAAUACAUAGCUGUCAAUGACGCAUUUUUUAAUAUUUCUUCAUGAAAAUUUUAUACAACCUGCUUCGAAUGUCACUUGCUAUCGCCUUCUUUGCUCUCUUUCGUUUAAACUCAACAGUAAAUAAGACUAAGUACAAAAGAACAAAAAUAAACCACAACAAAUGCAUCCCUGGCACACUCACAACAACAAAACAAAAGCGUAUAAAAAUGAUUGUAACAAACGCCAAACGGAACAGCUUAAAUUAGUACGCUAACGAAGCGAAUUAGAGCGCUUUGGAGCGCAACUUGUGGAUCAGACAAGCUCAUCAAAGCAUUUGGGGCGAAUUAAAUUCGAGCUUCGUGGUGAGCAAAUGAACCUGAACAAACUAAAUGAAAAAUGCAAAUGCAAAUAAACACAAAA
Bactrocera oleae (olive fruit fly) is the source of this 846-nucleotide non-coding RNA. Lineage: Eukaryota; Metazoa; Arthropoda; Insecta; Diptera; Tephritidae. The record is from RefSeq and is a predicted model, not a curated record.